RNAcentral lists this ribosomal RNA (368 nucleotides) under uncultured organism. Its description in RNAcentral is "bacterial SSU rRNA". It matches the Rfam family "Bacterial small subunit ribosomal RNA", at positions 526 to 896 of the family's 1533-position model. The record is from RNAcentral.
CGAAGGAUGCAAGCGUUAUCCGGAUUCGAUUGGUUUAAGGGGAGCGUAGGUGGACUGGUAAGUCAGUGGUGAAAUCUCCGAGCUUAACUCGGAAAUUGCCAUUGAUACUGUCGGUCUUGAGUAUAGUUGCCGUUGGCGGAAUAUGACAUGUAGUGGUGAAAUACAUAGAGAUGUCAUAGAACACCGAUUGCGAAGGCAGCUGACGAAACUAUAACUGACACUGAGGCUCGAAAGUGUGGGGAUCAAACAGGAUUAGAUACCCUGGUAGUCCACACUGUAAACGAUGAUUACUCGCUGCUAGAGGGCAACUUUUAGUGGCUUAGCGAAAGCGAUAAGUAAUCCACCUGGGGAGUACGCCGGCAACGGUG